AUCGCACCGUUGCCGUGUGAGUGUGUGCGCUAUUAUUAGAACGACUUACUAUUUAAUAUUAUAAUAAUAUGCUCUCGAGAACAACGACGAGCGUUAUGCGAUUAUCAUAAUCAUCACUAUAGGUGUAAAUUUUAAUAAUAAUAUAUAUAUAAUAAGCCAGGUCGCACGAACAAUCGUUAAACAUUCAAUAUAAUAAUAUGAACUCAGCGCUGAGCUAACGGUUUCUCGAAUACGAUUUGAAGCCCGACAAUCGGUCCGACGAUUUUUAGCGAAUCGUUAAAAACUAAACAUCUUUUUAUUUUUUUUUUAUGCAACUCGAAAUCAUAAUACGAGAUUAUAAAUUUUUUACAUAUUAUGUUAAGAUUUUUUUCCGCUAUUUGCUAUUUCACUUAGAUUAGAAAAUUAACUAGACUAUACUUGCGCUAGGUCUACACUCGCCUCCACUAUAUAUGUCACGAUGAGCCAUUUCAAAACAGUUGAAAAAGUUUAGUGUAAAAUACUGUUGACGCGGUUGAAGACGAUGCGACGAAAUAUUGAGGAACUACGAAAACGACACAGCAUCAGGGCCGUAUUGAGUUUUGCCAGGCCCCGGGAAAACUAAAUCUUCCGUGCCCCGUUUUUUAAGGGCUUGGGCGGCGGACAUAUGACCCGAGAAAAGCGGUCUGAAUACGGCCCUACACGGCCAAUGAGUGAAAUUUACAUGAUGUUUUGAUCAGUAGCUUCGUGUAAUAACGCAUAGUAUUGUGGCCUAUGUCCCUGUUUCGAAUUUGGAAUGUGAUCUACAAAAAUACAGACGCCUGCUACAAAGUUUGAGUAUUAAAAAAAUAUGACUUGUGUUUCAUGUGUUUGUAAGGACAACGCUACAACGAUUUUUAAAGCAUCUACUGACAAAAUAUUUUUUGAUAAAUCACGAUAACUGAUUGUCACCAUUAUUAUAUGGCGCAGGGGUGGCCAACUUGUGGCUCUUGUCAUAGA
This is a long non-coding RNA of Aphis gossypii (cotton aphid), 975 nucleotides long. RefSeq lists it as uncharacterized. The transcript has 4 exons. The record is from RefSeq and is a predicted model, not a curated record. Lineage: Eukaryota; Metazoa; Arthropoda; Insecta; Hemiptera; Aphididae.